Molecule: ribosomal RNA, 1298 nt
Filed under: Salmonella enterica subsp. enterica serovar Oranienburg
Lineage: Bacteria; Pseudomonadati; Pseudomonadota; Gammaproteobacteria; Enterobacterales; Enterobacteriaceae
Description: partial 23S ribosomal RNA
Rfam family: Bacterial large subunit ribosomal RNA
Source: RNAcentral
GUGUGUUCCAGGUAAAUCCGGUUCACUUUAACACUGAGGCGUGAUGACGAGGCGCUACGGUGCUGAAGCAACAAAUGCCCUGCUUCCAGGAAAAGCCUCUAAGCAUCAGGUAACAUCAAAUCGUACCCCAAACCGACACAGGUGGUCAGGUAGAGAAUACCAAGGCGCUUGAGAGAACUCGGGUGAAGGAACUAGGCAAAAUGGUGCCGUAACUUCGGGAGAAGGCACGCUGACAUGUAGGUGAAGUGAUUUACUCAUGGAGCUGAAGUCAGUCGAAGAUACCAGCUGGCUGCAACUGUUUAUUAAAAACACAGCACUGUGCAAACACGAAAGUGGACGUAUACGGUGUGACGCCUGCCCGGUGCCGGAAGGUUAAUUGAUGGGGUCAGCGCAAGCGAAGCUCCUGAUCGAAGCCCCGGUAAACGGCGGCCGUAACUAUAACGGUCCUAAGGUAGCGAAAUUCCUUGUCGGGUAAGUUCCGACCUGCACGAAUGGCGUAAUGAUGGCCAGGCUGUCUCCACCCGAGACUCAGUGAAAUUGAACUCGCUGUGAAGAUGCAGUGUACCCGCGGCAAGACGGAAAGACCCCGUGAACCUUUACUAUAGCUUGACACUGAACAUUGAGCCUUGAUGUGUAGGAUAGGUGGGAGGCUUUGAAGUGUGGACGCCAGUCUGCAUGGAGCCGACCUUGAAAUACCACCCUUUAAUGUUUGAUGUUCUAACGUGGACCCGUAAUCCGGGUUGCGGACAGUGUCUGGUGGGUAGUUUGACUGGGGCGGUCUCCUCCUAAAGAGUAACGGAGGAGCACGAAGGUUGGCUAAUCCUGGUCGGACAUCAGGAGGUUAGUGCAAUGGCAUAAGCCAGCUUGACUGCGAGCGUGACGGCGCGAGCAGGUGCGAAAGCAGGUCAUAGUGAUCCGGUGGUUCUGAAUGGAAGGGCCAUCGCUCAACGGAUAAAAGGUACUCCGGGGAUAACAGGCUGAUACCGCCCAAGAGUUCAUAUCGACGGCGGUGUUUGGCACCUCGAUGUCGGCUCAUCACAUCCUGGGGCUGAAGUAGGUCCCAAGGGUAUGGCUGUUCGCCAUUUAAAGUGGUACGCGAGCUGGGUUUAGAACGUCGUGAGACAGUUCGGUCCCUAUCUGCCGUGGGCGCUGGAGAACUGAGGGGGGCUGCUCCUAGUACGAGAGGACCGGAGUGGACGCAUCACUGGUGUUCGGGUUGUCAUGCCAAUGGCACUGCCCGGUAGCUAAAUGCGGAAGAGAUAAGUGCUGAAAGCAUCUAAGCACGAAACUUGCCCCGA